Molecule: long non-coding RNA, 769 nt
Organism: Dipodomys spectabilis (banner-tailed kangaroo rat)
Lineage: Eukaryota; Metazoa; Chordata; Mammalia; Rodentia; Heteromyidae
Exons: 3
Source: RefSeq, a predicted model, not a curated record
AGAGUAGCAGGGAUUACAGGCAUGUACCACCACACCCGGCUGGCCAGCACAUCCAAUUUACUUGUACAUUUUUACUGGACAUUUGCUGUACUAGUGACACUUUCACUCAGGGGAGUCACUUUUCAACUGAUAACUUUUUACACAAUCCCCUGCGCGUGCCCACCCACUGCAAUCCGCCUGGAAACUUCCACUGGCUCAGAAAGUUCUCCAACAGGAAGUGGUGGGUUAUUCAGUUCCAUAGAUAAUAUCUAAAACUAUUCAUGUCAAGUCUCACAAGUAGAUACACCAAAGGCUGCCCUAAGGAAAAACUCUGUGUCCUGUUGUAAUGGGAUAAGAAAUGUCACAUUGUCCCUUAUUAGACACCAAAGUUGCCUUGAAGGGGGAAUUUCAUGCAACAAGCAAAUAUGCCAGGUGGGCGGGGAGGGUAGAACGCUGUGUGCCUGUGAAGCCGAAUCAGACAGGGUCAGAACAAGACGCACAGUACCAGAAUGUUCUCUGUGUGUGGUCUGCCCAGGGCUGAGAAUUUACAAGGUCCAGAAAGAUCAAUAAGAGAGCUACAAACUUCUUGACUUUGUUUUUGGCAAAAAGUUCAGAUGUAUGGGGGUAGGAGGGUUUCAGGAAAAGCUUGAUCAAGUAGUUGCACAAAACCAGAACAUGUGGAGGAAGAGGCAUUGCCAGCCAGCUUGGGAAACUGACUCAAGGCAGAAUCGUUAGGUCUUUCCAACCAACUGAACCAGAAAAAUUCCUUCCAUGCCAGGGGGGCCUGGCA